GACGCAGCUAACGCAUUAAGUGCCCCGCCUGGGGAGUACGAUCGCAAGAUUAAAACUCAAAGGAAUUGACGGGGCCCCGCACAAGCAGCGGAGCAUGCGGCUUAAUUCGACGCAACGCGAAGAACCUUACCAAGGCUUGACAUAUACAGGAAUAUGGCAGAGAUGUCAUAGCCGCAAGGUCUGUAUACAGGUGGUGCAUGGUUGUCGUCAGCUCGUGUCGUGAGAUGUUGGGUUAAGUCCCGCAACGAGCGCAACCCUCGUUCUGUGUUGCCAGCAUUAAGUUGGGGACUCACAGGAGACUGCCGGGGUUAACUCGGAGGAAGGUGGGGAUGACGUCAAAUCAUCAUGCCCCUUAUGUCUUGGGCUGCACGCAUGCUACAAUGGCUGGUACAAACGGCUGCGAUACCGCAAGGUGGAGCGAAUCCGAUAAAGCCAGUCUCAGUUCGGAUUGGGGUCUGCAACUCGACCCCAUGAAGUCGGAGUUGCUAGUAAUCGUAGAUCAGCAACGCUACGGUGAAUACGUUCCCGGGGCUUGUACACACCGCCCGUCACGUCACGAAAGUCGGUAACACCCGAAGUCAGUGGCCCAACC
RNAcentral lists this ribosomal RNA (592 nucleotides) under uncultured Actinomycetes bacterium. RNAcentral describes it as "bacterial SSU rRNA". It matches the Rfam family "Bacterial small subunit ribosomal RNA", at positions 845 to 1440 of the family's 1533-position model. The record is from RNAcentral. Lineage: Bacteria; Bacillati; Actinomycetota; Actinomycetes.